This 269-nucleotide ribosomal RNA is filed under the name uncultured prokaryote. RNAcentral describes it as "partial 16S ribosomal RNA". It matches the Rfam family "Bacterial small subunit ribosomal RNA", at positions 524 to 794 of the family's 1533-position model. The record is from RNAcentral.
UACGUAGGGACGAGCGUUGUCCGGAAUUACUGGGCGUAAAGGGCGCGCAGGCGGUUUGUCAAGUCAGCUGUUAAAAAUGGGGGCUUAACCCUCAUAUGCUGUUGAAACUGGCAGACUGGAGUGCUGUAGAGGCAAGUGGAAUUCCCAGUGUAGCGGUGAAAUGCGUAGAUAUUGGGAAGAACACCGGUGGCGAAGGCGACUUGCUGGGCAGCAACUGACGCUGAGGCGCGAAAGCCAGGGGAGCAAACGGGAUUAGAUACCCGCGUAGU